AUACCAAAGAAGCAUUUCAUCAAGGAUGGCCACCAUAAACGGCAGAAAUGGUAUUGACCUAACAAAAGAAGAUAUUAAGAAGAGGUGGCAAGAAUACACAGAAGAACUGUACAAAAAAGGUCUUAAUGACCCAGAUAACCACGAUGGUGUGAUCACUCACCUCAAGCCACACAACCUGGAAUGUGAA
Molecule: long non-coding RNA, 187 nt
Organism: Cervus elaphus (red deer)
Lineage: Eukaryota; Metazoa; Chordata; Mammalia; Artiodactyla; Cervidae
Exons: 3
Source: RefSeq, a predicted model, not a curated record